This 315-nucleotide ribosomal RNA is filed under the name uncultured eukaryote. RNAcentral's name for it is "partial 18S ribosomal RNA". It matches the Rfam family "Eukaryotic small subunit ribosomal RNA", at positions 1470 to 1796 of the family's 1831-position model. The record is from RNAcentral.
CCCUUAGAUGUUCUGGGCUGCACGCGCGCUACACUGACCGGUGCAACAAGCAUCCGUCCUUGGCCGACAGGCCCGGGCAAUCUUUGAACGCCGGUCGUGAUGGGGAUAGACUUUUGCAAUUUUUGGUCUUCAACGAGGAAUUCCUAGUAAACGCAAGUCAUCAACUUGCAUUGAUUACGUCCCUGCCCUUUGUACACACCGCCCGUCGCACCUACCGAUUGAAUGGUCCGGUGAAGCCUCCGGAUUGGCGCGCACCUCGGUGCCGCCGAGAAGUUGGCUAAACCUUACCAUUUAGAGGAAGGUGAAGUCGUAACA